Molecule: long non-coding RNA, 382 nt
Organism: Carassius auratus (goldfish)
Lineage: Eukaryota; Metazoa; Chordata; Actinopteri; Cypriniformes; Cyprinidae
Exons: 3
Source: RefSeq, a predicted model, not a curated record
UGCUGCUAGACCUAGACUCGUCCUGUUUCUUUAAAUCCUUUAAAUCGAAACAAAUAGGAUUAGGCUGUUGUGAGAACUGUCCACAGAAAUGAUGUGCUCACCAAUCACUAUUAGGCUAUAUGAAUUGAAGAAAGUGUCUCAGAGGGAAGAUAAAUCUACAUGUAAUGGCCGUGAUAAACUCUGGACAAUCUCAUCAUCCCGCUCUUUCAGCAGGAGGGGGUCACUGUGACGUAGAAGCAGUGGCGUGGAUUCAAGACCACCGGAGCUCGAACCGACCGGACCGUUCAGUAACGACGCGACACACGCGACAAGAGCGGUCACAGAAUACUACAACGAAAAUCUUCAGAGACAGGUCGUGCCCAUUCUGAAGAGAAAGUUCAAC